This 260-nucleotide long non-coding RNA is filed under the name Gossypium barbadense (sea-island cotton). RNAcentral's name for it is "long non-coding RNA (GBAR_LNC014338)". Lineage: Eukaryota; Viridiplantae; Streptophyta; Magnoliopsida; Malvales; Malvaceae. The record is from RNAcentral.
AAUAAUACUCAAUUUUGCUAAAGUGAAGAGGGAUUGUAAGUAGAAAGGGUUGAUGUUUGUGGGUAUCAACAUCGCAAGCUAAAUAAGGAGUGCUAUUGUUGAUACGGGGGCAUUUGAUUUGUUCAUAUCAGAGAAAGCGAUAGGUAAACUUGAUCUCUUAGUUAGCAAAUUGACUAAGAGGAUUAAGACUGUAAAUUCUAAAGAGGUCCUAAUUGUGGGAGUAGCACAAGGAGUUUGAGUUCCAGAUCGGGCAAUGGAAA